GGGCCCUUAGCUCAGCUGGGAGAGCGCCUGCUUUGCAAGCAGGAGGCCGCCGGUUCGAUUCCGGCAGGGUCCA
This 73-nucleotide transfer RNA is filed under the name Bacillota bacterium. RNAcentral's name for it is "tRNA-Ala". It matches the Rfam family "tRNA". Rfam says of the family: Transfer RNA (tRNA) molecules are approximately 80 nucleotides in length. Their secondary structure includes four short double-helical elements and three loops (D, anti-codon, and T loops). Lineage: Bacteria; Bacillati; Bacillota. RNAcentral also lists the same sequence under 1 other name. The record is from RNAcentral.